Molecule: long non-coding RNA, 690 nt
Organism: Conger conger (European conger)
Lineage: Eukaryota; Metazoa; Chordata; Actinopteri; Anguilliformes; Congridae
Exons: 4
Source: RefSeq, a predicted model, not a curated record
GUGAAGAUCAGAUGAGCCUGGCUCUUCAUUGAAAGACUGGCCACUGGAACCUAAUUACACCCCAUUUUCCCCUCAGAGAAGACUGUUCCAGAGACGGCCCCCAUGGCUCAGGAAGGUCCCAGCACAGCAGACACUCGCAGGGGCAUUCAUCAGUGUAACUCCCAGGGAUGCAUCUGCUGCAAGCAUAUAUUAAAGGGAUCUGAUCUAUUUCAGAGUGCAGCUACAGGAAAUCAAUAUGAAAUCACACAAUACCUGACCUGUAAGACACCAGUGUCAUCUACGUCAUCCAGUGUAAAGUAUGCAAGGUGCAAUAUGUUGGGAAGACCUCAACCACACUGCAAAGAAGAUUCAAAGACCACAGAGGUUCCAUCAGAAAACAUGAAAAGCGGCCAAUCCCUGAUCAUUUCACCAAGAAUGGCCAUUGUCUUGAUGAUCUGAUUAUCUAUCCAAUUGAGGAGGUCACUGGUUCCAAAGAAUUAAGUGAGAGGGAACUGCACUGGAUCAGAGAGCUUGACACAGUUGAAAAUGGACUAAAUCUGGGGCCAUAUGAAUGUGUAAGACAGCAGAGCCAAGAUGAUGGAGACAAAAGACCAGUGGAACCAACUGAGGGACAAGUGGAAGCUCCUCAGAAAGGUAAAAGAAAGCUCCGUGGGAAUGAAGAUGUGAAAUCAAAGAAAAGGAAGAUGAAAA